AGCUUGCUCCGGGUACUCCGAGUGCGAACGGGUGAGUAACACGUGGGUGAUCUGCCUUGCACUUCGGGAUAAGCUUGGGAAACUGGGUCUAAUACCGGAUAGGACAGCUGUUUAGUGUCAGUUGUGGAAAGUUUUUCGGUGCAAGAUGAGCUCGCGGCCUAUCAGCUUGUUGGUGGGGUAAUGGCCUACCAAGGCGUCGACGGGUAGCCGGCCUGAGAGGGUGUACGGCCACAUUGGGACUGAGAUACGGCCCAGACUCCUACGGGAGGCAGCAGUGGGGAAUAUUGCACAAUGGGCGGAAGCCUGAUGCAGCGACGCCGCGUGGGGGAUGAAGGCCUUCGGGUUGUAAACUCCUUUCGACAGGGACGAAGCGUAAGUGACGGUACCUGUAUAAGAAGCACCGGCUAACUACGUGCCAGCAGCCGCGGUAAUACGUAGGGUGCGAGCGUUGUCCGGAAUUACUGGGCGUAAAGAGCUCGUAGGUGGUUUGUCGCGUCGUCUGUGAAAUUCCGGGGCUUAACUCCGGGCGUGCAGGCGAUACGGGCUGACUUGAGUGCUGUAGGGGAGACUGGAAUUCCUGGUGUAGCGGUGAAAUGCGCAGAUAUCAGGAGGAACACCGAUGGCGAAGGCAGGUCUCUGGGCAGUAACUGACGCUGAGGAGCGAAAGCAUGGGUAGCGAACAGGAUUAGAUACCCUGGUAGUCCAUGCCGUAAACGGUGGGCGCUAGGUGUAGGGGGCUUCCACGUCUUCUGUGCCGUAGCUAACGCAUUAAGCGCCCCGCCUGGGGAGUACGCCGCAAG
Molecule: ribosomal RNA, 800 nt
Filed under: uncultured Actinomycetes bacterium
Lineage: Bacteria; Bacillati; Actinomycetota; Actinomycetes
Description: bacterial SSU rRNA
Rfam family: Bacterial small subunit ribosomal RNA
Source: RNAcentral